Long non-coding RNA from Cydia pomonella (codling moth), 3614 nucleotides. RefSeq lists it as uncharacterized. The transcript has 2 exons. The record is from RefSeq and is a predicted model, not a curated record. Lineage: Eukaryota; Metazoa; Arthropoda; Insecta; Lepidoptera; Tortricidae.
AUGUUAAUAUUUGGUAUAAUAAUUAUAGCAAAUAUUAGGAUUACUCAGGUAGAUAAAAGUAAUUUAUAUGGAAUACAAUGUUUUACAUAACCUUCUUUUGUAUGAGGAACUGUUAGAAAUUCUAUCAAGGUAUCAUUUGAUUGAAUGUCUAAUUUUCCAUACUUAAUACUCUACUUAUAUACGGUGUUGUGAACUUGUGAAUGUGUUCUAGUCAUUAAAAUGGCAUAUUGAUUGUAACUGCUUUAUUUAUUUUGUUAAAUUCAACAGUUAGGUAUCUACAAACAGAAAAAUUGCCGCAAUACCGAGGUCAUCCCUUAAAAACUAAAGUUUGACACAGUAACUGAAUAUAGUAGCAACGUACAAUGUCCAUUAAUUUCUUUCUUUAACGCAUUCACUGCCAGCAACCCGCCAGGCGGGCGCUCAGUCCGUAGUUGCUUUUCGCUACAUACGCAUUUUCCCAUGUUACGAGCAUAAAUUCGAAUAACAUCCCUGUAUAUCAUACCUAUUGUGUCGAAUAAUAGGCCCUCUGACAAUUCCUUAUACAUCUUUUCCUUGUCUCGUGUUUUAUUUUUAUACAAACAAACUUCAUUAAAUAUUAAUUAUUUCACUAUCAUAGCUAAACAUAAACACACUUCUGCUUGUUUAUUACAGUAAUAUGGACGAAAAACAAGAAAGGCAAUGAGAUGGUUGUAGUCAACGGAUAUUCCUUCUGCAAAAACGCGAUACGACGAAACACUGUGUCUUGGAGGUGCACGAACACCUAUCAGAAAUGCAAGAGCCGUUUCUUGGCCACUCCAGAGCGCCAGAUUAUUCGUGCAAACCUUAACCAUAACCAUUCCGCUCAUAAGUUUAUUAUAAGGGAUGGGGUUUAUCUCAGAGUUUAACCCACGGUCAAAGAACCCCUAAAGCGUCAACAACUGAGCGCGGCUCCAGCCCAAUAUCAACCUUGUUGCAUUCCGAUAAGGUGCACAAUGACGCACCGCUCUCCUGGGUUUUAUGUGACAUUAGCUUCCAUUACAUUGUAUACGUAGUAUAUUAUAUUACUUAAAAUAAAAUAUUUCAGUGAUAUGGGCAAAAGAUACAAAAGGCAAGGAGUUGGUUGUAGUUAACGGCUACAAAUUCUACAACACAGGCGCGAACUCAAGCCUAAAAUCAGUGUCGUGGCGGUGCACACAUACACACAAACACUGUAGGAGCCAACUCACCACCCAGGACGGCAAGAUUCUUCGUGCAAAUUUAGAACAUAACCACGAGGCUCUCAAUUUUGUUAUACGCAAUGGUGUAUAUCAGAAAGUAUCUAAGAUUUAUGAUAGUAUCCUUAAAUUAAAUAGUCGUAUCUAAAAAUUAUUGCUACGCUCACUCAUUGUAUUAAAAUAUCUUUAUCUUGUCUAUUACAUACGCAUUCAUAACAAAUGUAUAAAUUUCACUGUAUAUCCCGCUUUAAACAGAAAAGAAAUAAUUGUUUUUUUUAUUUUUAUGUUAGUCAUUUUAUUCUGAAUUUAAUUUUAUAUGGAUGUAUUUUCUGAAAUAAAAUAUUGAAUUGAAUUGAACAUAUUAAGAAAAUAAAUACUGUUUUAUAAGAUAUAGCUGCAUAAUGCUAUCCACAACAGGCUUCGUCGUUUUUCCUUAUGUUAAUUAUUAUAAUAGAAAGUAAUUUUAAAGAACUGCCCCAAAUCUCAGACUACAGGUACAAAGGCAACCUCCUCUUAAAUUUAUCUUUAUCUCUUUGCAGUGUAUGUGGCAAGAAAUAGUAGAGGGAAGCAGACAGCGAUUCUUAAUGGCUAUACGUUUUGCUCCAAAAAAGUAAGAAAAAGCACUAUAUCUUGGCAAUGUACUACGCACAGUACAUGCAGGAGCCAGUUCCUCGCUACUAAAGAUGGUCACGUACUACGUGGUGAUAUUGAUCACAAUCAUGCACCACCUAAUUUUGUUAUUCGCGAUGGAUUCUAUUUUAAGGCUCCUCCUCCCGCAAAAUACCGUAAAACUAAGUUAUUCUAAAUCAUUUUUUACAUUCAGCGCAAGUGUCGUUUUGCCUCUACGAAGUAUAUCCGCUACAUACCGGGAAACCCAUGUUAUGGGCUACGCGUAGCGCUACGUCCGUAGCGCAGCGGUGAAUAUGUUAAUGGCGUUUAUUUCGAAGGGAAUUAUGAUAGUUAGAACGUUUCAUUUCGGAGGGAAUUAUAAUAUAUUCUACAACUAUUAGUUGAAUUGCGGAGGAGAAUUCACUCCUACGUAUCAGGUAUAUUAAUAGUACAUUGUGGAAUAAGGGAGGUAUGGACAUAAUAAUUUUACUAACGAGAAUCACCUUAAAUUGUAGAGCCAUAUAUUUAUAAUUAUAACUGAAUGUCUAUUAAUGUAUAAUAAGAUAAAUGUAUAUAAGAAUCGUACAUAUAAAUACCUUUUACAUAUACAUUUAACGCUGACCGAGAGGUGGAACUCACCGAUACUGCGGCGAUGGAUUCAGAUCGAUGGCACAGUGUUUUUUUUUUUAAUUUUUACGGAUUUUAUGAUAAUAUGUAACUGUAGCUGUAGUUUCAAUUAAUUUUACCAAUUUAUUUACUAACAUAGUUUCUUAAGAAUUCACCUAUUGUUACUAAAAUAUUUAAUUUGAAUCUUGAUUCAUAUUUUUAUAUUACUCAUUUUAUUUUGAAUUGAAUUUUAUAUGGACUUAUUUUCUGAAAUAAAUUAUUGUAUUGAAUAUAUAUUAUAAUUAAAAAAUCACUAUUUUUAUUGCAUAAAGCUAUCCGCAACGGGCUCCGCAAUUUUUCCUUAUGUUAAUUAUUAUAAUACACAGUAAUUUUAAAAGACCGCCCCAAAUCGCAAUAUACAGGUACAAAAUCAACCUCCUCUUAAAUAUAUCAUUAUAUCUUUGCAGUGUAUGUGGCAAGAAAUAGUAGAGGGAAGCAGACAGCGAUUCUUAAUGGCUAUACAUUUUGCUCCAAAAAAGUAAGAAAAAACACUAUAUCUUGGCAAUGUACUACGCACAGUACAUGCAGGAGCCAGUUCCUCGCUACUAAAGAUGGUCACGUACUACGUGGUGAUAUUGAUCACAAUCAUGCAGCACCUAAUUUUGUUAUUCGAGAUGGAAUCUAUAUUAAACUGUGAAAUUUAGUUUUUAAGCAUGUUUAUAUAAUGAAAGUAAGCAAGGUAUUAAACGUAGAAUGAAAUGUAGGGGUUGCUUUCUUGAUUUUGAUGAUUGAAAACCUCUUGGUGCCAAUCUGGGUCAUUAUCAUGUGGCUCCUAAAUUGUAUAGACGAUAUAAAAUGUGAAAAACAAUUGCACAUUCCACGAUAUUACGAGUAUGAUAUUGUUUGAGUUAUAUUAAUGUUUCUGUAUUCUGGACCCUUUUCGACGACCGGUCUGGCCUCGUGAGUAGUGACCCUGCCUAUGAAGCCGAUGGUCCCGGGUUCAAAUCCUGGUAAGGGCAUUUAUUCGUGUGAUGAGCAUGGAUAUUUGUUUCUGAGUCAUUGGUGUUUUCUAUGUAUUUAAGUAUUUAUAAAUAUUUAUAUAUUAUAUAUAUCGUUGUCUAAGUACCCUCAACACAAGCCUUAUUGAGCUUACUGUGGGACUUAGUCAAUUUGUGUAAUAAUGUCCUAUAAUAUUUAUUUAUUUUG